GGCGUGUAUACCAGGAACCCCUACACGAAUUUCGACAGGUCGGGCAUGGAACAGAAUCGUACGUCGGGUAGUCAGACUAUUUCACUCUCUCACUACAGCACGUGAGGGCUCUUCAUUGCCCAGAACAUUACACUGCCUCCGCUGGCCUGCCUUCUUCUCAUAAUGAAUCCUGCUGCUAGCUCUUCCCCAGGUAAACUACGCAAACGAACCUGGUUACACAUGAUCUAAAAGAGACCGUAAUUCAAC
Pelobates cultripes (western spadefoot toad) is the source of this 246-nucleotide non-coding RNA. The record is from the annotation of a GenBank genome assembly. Lineage: Eukaryota; Metazoa; Chordata; Amphibia; Anura; Pelobatidae.